RNAcentral lists this long non-coding RNA (1150 nucleotides) under Mytilus galloprovincialis (Mediterranean mussel). Lineage: Eukaryota; Metazoa; Mollusca; Bivalvia; Mytilida; Mytilidae. The record is from RNAcentral.
UCUUUUUUCUUGUGCUAAUGAAUUUAAUUUAUGAGGCAUACGGAUGCAAAUGUGAUCUGAAAACAAAUAAACAGAAGUUUUGUGAGCCUACUUACGGUAAGCUUAUAAAUUAAUGCAAAUCAAGAUGAUGAAACAAUUUGAACUUGAUAAACAAAAUAAAACUGUAUUAUGUAGGUAGAACAUCUUUUUAUUUGAAGACGUUUGAUGUAAGUGUAAAGCUUUCGAGAUUUCCAUAUAUGGUUUCGUACUGUAAAUAACAGUAAACUUUGCACAACAUGUAUCUUUAAACGAGAGCCUGCCACUAUUCAAGUACGUUGUGUGGUUAAACAUAAACUCAUGACACCCAGACUAGGACCUCGAUCUUCCGUAAAAUGUAUUAAAACAUGAACAAUGCAGCCAGAAGGUCACUUACUUGAACCAAGGAACUUACAAGGCACAUAAUUUUGUAACUACGGGCAAUAUAUUGCUAGGUACUACAGUAAACUAGCUCAUGUAGUUACAGUUGUCGGUUGGAUACCAAACUAAUUAGAAACAUCACUCCUUGUAUGUUUGAUAAAGUCGCAUAGUAAAAACAGCUUGUUUGGCAUCUUUGUGAACACAUUUAUUUCAAACAUAUUCUAUUGUUCAAAAUGGCAAUGGAUCAGAUUCUAGUUUUACAACUUAGUAACGUUAUAAGAAAUAUACACAAUAUUAAUUAUCACAUCAACUUUUCCAUUCUUACAAAUGAUUUACACAUAAAGACAUAAAAAUAAAUAGUAACUUGUUUACAGAAAUCAAUCAAAACAAUUUGCUGCAUCUCUGAACAGGAAGAGGUGACACAACAGAUUUAACAUCUUCAAUAAAACAUUAUCACACAUUAGUUGUACCUUUACGUUCAAAUCUCUGAAUAAAUUAGAAUAUAUAGUCAUGUUGAUAAGAAAAAUAAAGUUGACAUACAUAUCCGAGCAUUUGAUUAAUUCUGCUAUCGCUUAUAUAUAUUUGCAUACGGUAUAUUCUUGUCGAUAUCCUUACUAACACUUACAUUCGAAUUCUGAAUUAAAGUUACUCGAGGAAAAGUCACGAGCAGGAAGUUCUUAAACAGACAUCAAAUUGAGUACACAGUGGACGUCAAUCAUAACUUUAAGGUAGUAUAUAAAUGAUAGUUAUAAGG